RNAcentral lists this unclassified non-coding RNA (336 nucleotides) under soil metagenome. Its description in RNAcentral is "partial contains 5.8S ribosomal RNA, internal transcribed spacer 2, and large subunit ribosomal RNA". The stretch from base 1 to 120 matches the Rfam family "5.8S ribosomal RNA", at positions 35 to 154 of the family's 154-position model. The record is from RNAcentral.
GAUGAAGAACGUAGCGAAAUGCGAUAAGUAGUGUGAAUUGCAGAAUUCAGUGAAUCAUCGAAUCUUUGAACGCACAUUGCGCCCGCCAGUAUUCUGGCGGGCAUGCCUGUUCGAGCGUCAUUUCAACCAUCAAGCCCCCGGCUUGUGUUGGGGACCUGCGGCUGCCGCAGGCCCUGAAAAACAGUGGCGGGCUCGCUGUCACACCGAGCGUAGUAGCAUACAUCUCGCUCUGGGCGUGCUGCGGGUUCCGGCCGUUAAACCACCUUCAUAACCCAAGGUUGACCUCGGAUCAGGUAGGAAGACCCGCUGAACUUAAGCAUAUCAAUAAGCGGAGGA